AAUCUCAAUUCAUUUUAAUUAAAAUUGUAGAAAGUAGAAAUUGUAUGUUAUACAUCAUUGUGAUUAUUGCAUCUAUAAUACUUAAUAGUAUUUUAAGGUUGCAUGAUAGAGAUUUUAUGUGCCACCCCAGAGUAACUGGCACCUGCCUGGCCACCCCUAUGAAAAAUCCCUGGCUCCGCCACUGAUUAGCAAAACACAAAAAAUACAUUAUAUUAUAAAUCUUUACCCGGACAAGUGACUUUUGUGCAUUGACAAGUGAAACAUAAAUUUACUCCGAAGAACAAGUUCCUCAAAAAGUUAAUGUCAAGCCCUGCACCAGCUAACUUGCAUUACAUUUGCAAGAACCACGUCUUUCUCUCACUUCAGCCGUGUGGCACGCGUGCCUGCUCACGAUGUGAAGCACGUCUGCGCUAUUCUCUGAAAAGCACUUGACAGGCUUUUGUGCAGUGCCUGAAUUUGUGUAAAUGAUUUUUGUCAAAAAAUAGAAUUCUGGUUUAUCUCAAUCAGUUUCCCAGCUCAUUCAAAAGCGACUUCAAUACUGGUUUUGAAAAUUAGCUCAUCACUAAUAUCUUUAUCCUCUAUGUCUUUCAUGAACUUGUUUUUUCCCCUCAAGGUAAUAAUGGUAAGAUCCCAGCAGGAAGCUAGAAGGCCAGGCAGUGGCAAUGAUGAGCCUUUGAAAAGGAGGAAACCAUGCCUGAAGUACCCAUCUGAAGGAACAAACACUUGUCAUAAAUGUCUCUCAAAACAAUGUCUCUGGCAGAGGAAAGGGUACGCUCAAAAAACCCUGGACAAAAGCUGAAGUGAGUGGUAAAUGGACUGCAUUUUAUAUAGCGCUUUUAACAGACCUAUGGCCAUCCAAAGCGCUUUACAAUUUGCCUCACAUUCACCCAUUCACUCUCUCAUUCAUACACCGACGGUGGUGUGAGCCAUGCAAGGGGCCAUCCAGCUCAUCAGGAGCAGCUGGGGUUAGAUGUCUUGCUCAAAGACACCUCGACACUUGAUCAGGUGGAGCCGGGGAUUAAACCACCAACCUUCCGGUUUGUGGACAACCUACAUGAACCACUGAGCCACUGCCGCCCCAGUGAACGCUGUAAUGUGACACUUCAGAUCUCACAUCAGCAAAGGUCACUUGGCGUCAGUGAGAGAAUGUGAGGUCUGUAAAAGAAGUGAGCAUCCAGUGCUACAAAAUAGGACAGAGCAAAAUCUCAGAGAGUUUGUUUGAAACCGAGGGCUUACCUUUAAGCGCAUGGAAAAGUGAGUCAAAAUGUUCAGAAUGUAAUGCUGUUGAUUUUAAAGUAACGUUUUGUAAUUGCCGUCAUUGAAGGAACACGCCAACAUUUUGGGAAUUUAGCUUAUUCACCGUAUUCCCCAGAGUUAAAUAAGUCCAUACAUAUUUUUCUGUGCCUGCUGUAACCCUGUCUGACGCAGCCCUUGCUAGCUUAGCUUAGCACAAAGACUGGAAGUGAAUGGCUCCAGCAAGCAUACUGCUCCCAAUACGUGACAAAAUAACACAAACAUUUUCCCAUUUAUGUGUUGUGAUUUGUACAGUCGCACCAUGUACAAAUAACAAGGUGAUAUGAGACACAGCCAUCUUUUAACGAAUACAUACUGGGAACUAUAUUCUCAGAAGGCGAAGCACUGCUACUUGGGCGUAGUGAUUUGCUCGCAGCCCCCGAGAAGCCCCCUGGUGAGGAGCAGAGAGUUCGGUCAGAGUUGUGCAAAUCACUCCGCCCAAGUAGCAGUGCUUCGUCUUCUGAGAAUAUAGUUCCCAGUAUGUAUACCAGGGCUCGAAAUUGCGACUGUUUUGGUCGCAUAUGCGACCAAAAUUUAAUCUGUGCAACCUUAAAAAAUAUUUGGGAGCAUUUUUGCGACUGCUUAUUUUGUUGUGGUGUGACUUGAUUUAGAUAGUGUAUGUUGUGUGCUGUUCCAGGUUCAGCGUUCUCUCCAGCAUUACAUAACCAAUCAAAUUUCACCAUUAAGUUUUUGCGUUUAAUGAAGAGCACAGAUUGGUUAAUAUGAAUGUCAAUCAUUCCUUGUUGCCGUGCUACGUUGGUACGCAAAGCGCGAAAAUGUGAAAAAACGAACCACGAGAAUGAAGAGAACGAGACGACUACAGCCAAUCUUACUACUGUAUUAAUGGAGGUUGCAGGUAAAACGGCGUUGGUGGCGGAAUCCACACAUUUUAAGCGCGAGACCUUGCUUGAACAUGGCGAAAGUGCCAAAAACACAAAAAGUGUCAUGACAAAUGUGUUCAUUAUUGAAGGAGACACUGACCUGUCUAUCAAAUCAAAUAGUGUUUGAUGAUGUAUGAGCGCAUCCUGCUUGAGGGACAUCCGACAAACAUCCUUUUGUAAUGUCACAAUUAAUCAGUGUUUUACGUGUUUGCUAGAUUUUUUAUUGUCAUCAUAAUUAUGUUACCUAUAAUUGUUUAAUUAUUAUUGCGGCUUUAUUAUUUAAACAGCAUUUGGGUACUAUUUUAGGAAUCUGCAAAAAAAAAAUUCAAAUCCUGGCCAUAGGAUGUGUAAAGCCCAGUUGUGUUUAUUUUUAAUAAAAUAAAUCUAAACCUAUACAUAUUGUGGUGCUUCAAAAUUUGGUGCUUCUAACUCUUUAAAGUUGGGAGCAUCAGUGCUACCAAAUAAAAGGGUUUAUUUUGAGCCCUGUAUACUAGGGGUGUAACGGUACGCAAAAAUCAUGGUUCGUGCGUACCUCGGUUUUGAGGCCACGGUUCGGUUCAUUUUCGGUACAGUAAAGUAAAAUACAUUUAUGAACGAUUAGCCUACAUUUUUGCCACCAAAAAUGUUUUUGUUUUGAAUUAUUUUGGAUUUUUUAAGUCACAGUAUUGAAUUGGUUAUGUACCAUCUCUGUAUAAAAAUAAUAUUACUUCUCUAUGUGUAACUGCACAGCAAGCAACAUGAUGAUAUAGUUAUUAUACACUCAUAUUAAGAUGGGUGAGUUGCAUACAUAGCCUUCUUUUACCUUUUGCACGUUUCUCCUAAUCUUUGCUUGUGUUGCCAAUGUAAGCUGUGACUUGAACUAACGAACCCCUCCGCAGCUGAGUAACAGCUGAGUAAGCCCGGGUUACAGCUCUUCUCUGUCCCGACCAGCUGAUCACAUUGUGACAAUGAUAUGAUUGACGUGAGGUGCAGAUGAAAAAUCUGAUCACGCAUUCCGUUAUUCUCGCGUGUCACAGAAAGCGCGACUCAUGAUUGCGUAGCAACGAAAGAACAAAAAGAACAAAACAGCGCAUCAACACGCGUUUAACAUGCACUUUUAGACGCGACACGUAAACGUUUAAAUCAAUAAUCAAACGAAUAUACAACUAAGUAAAUAAAAAUCUUUCUGCGGGCCAAAUUAUGUUAUAUGUUUGACAGAAGACUUGCGCUGAACGCGGAGACUUCCGCCACUUAAUAUGUUUGUGUGGAAACGCACACAACAUAUUAUGUUCCACCUAUGUUCCGCACACAAAAGAUUGCAUUUGGCCCUUCGGUGCACACGUGCACCGUGCCGAAAGCACUGUACCGAAACGGUCCGGUACGAAUACACGUACCGUUACACCCCUACUGUAUACUGUUAAAAGAUGGCUGUCUCAUAUGACCUUGAUAUUUGUACACGGUGUGACUAUACAAAUCACGACACAUAAAUAGGAAAAUGUUCGCAUUAUUUUGUCACUUAUUUGGAGCAGUAUGCUAGCUGGAGCCAUUCACUUCCAGUCGUUGUGCUUAGCUAAGCUAGCGGGGGCUGCAUCAGACAGAGCACGCACGGAGAUAAGAAUAAUAUGUAGGGACUUAUUUAACUCUGGGGGAUACUGUGAAUAAGCUAAAAUGUGGGUGUGUUCCUUUAAGUAAAAUUUUUCUGAUUGUAAUGUUAUUGCUGUUGAAAGUAAUGUUUUUUAAAUUCCCGUCACAAAGUAAAAAUGUUCUGAAUGUAAUCGUGAUUAAUCAUUUGGCAGCACUAGAUUGUAAUGUUGACAGUUUUUAAAUUCAAAAAAUGAUUUUUUUAUUAAACGUUUUUACUCUCUUAACUCUUUCCCUGCCAGCGUUUUAAAAAAGUUGCCAGCCAGCGCCAGCAUUUUUCAUGAUUUUCACAAAAGUUUAAUGCCCUCCAGAAAAUGUUCUUCUUUAAAUAUAUAAACAAACAAUAUAUCAAAUGAAAGAACAGACCCUCUGCUUUCAAACAAAAAAACCUGUUUCAUCAUACCUUCAUUCGUUCUCUUUUUAUCACCUCUCAAAUAUGGGAAGGUUUCUUCAAAAACACCCAAUUUUGAGCAAAAAGCUGAGAUAAUUCCAUUUUUGUGAAGGACUUUUUAUAGAGAUCAGAUGCAGAGUGAUCUUUAAAACAUACACGGAGUUCUUUCAUGUGAGGCAUUUCUUACGGGUUGUAUAAGUUGCGGUAUUGCGGAAAGCCGGAAAUUCUCGUCAUUGGCAGGGAAGCGUUUUCUCUUAAUUGACGAGUUAUCUCAUCAAUGGCGGGGAAAGAGUUAAUUAUCCAAGAUUAUCAUCAUUACAUUAUUGUCAAAAUGAAUUAAUUGUCAAAAAUACAAUAAAAACUAAUUUGUGAAAUA
Non-coding RNA from Misgurnus anguillicaudatus (oriental weatherfish), 4561 nucleotides. Lineage: Eukaryota; Metazoa; Chordata; Actinopteri; Cypriniformes; Cobitidae. The record is from RefSeq and is a predicted model, not a curated record.